RNAcentral lists this transfer RNA (73 nucleotides) under Actinomycetes bacterium. Its description in RNAcentral is "Actinobacteria bacterium tRNA-Ala". It matches the Rfam family "tRNA". Rfam says of the family: Transfer RNA (tRNA) molecules are approximately 80 nucleotides in length. The record is from RNAcentral. Lineage: Bacteria; Bacillati; Actinomycetota; Actinomycetes. RNAcentral also lists the same sequence under 1 other name.
GGGGCCGUAGCUCAGUUGGGAGAGCGCCGCGAUGGCAUCGCGGAGGCCAGGGGUUCGAGCCCCCUCGGCUCCA